GUACCACCUACUGUCGCCGUCCCAAAA
This 27-nucleotide small RNA is filed under the name Bombyx mori (domestic silkworm). RNAcentral describes it as "ovarian small RNA-17624". Lineage: Eukaryota; Metazoa; Arthropoda; Insecta; Lepidoptera; Bombycidae. The record is from RNAcentral.